This 461-nucleotide ribosomal RNA is filed under the name uncultured bacterium. Its description in RNAcentral is "partial 16S ribosomal RNA". It matches the Rfam family "Bacterial small subunit ribosomal RNA", at positions 28 to 523 of the family's 1533-position model. The record is from RNAcentral.
GAUGAACGCUGGCGGCGUGCCUAAUACAUGCAAGUCGAGCGGCAACAUGGACUUCGGUCUGAUGGCGAGCGGCGGACGGGUGAGUAACGCGUAAGAAUGUACCCCAAACUGAGGGAUAACUGCUCGAAAGAGUAGCUAAUACCGCAUGUGCUCUACGGAGUAAAGCUUCGGCGGUUUGGGAACAGCUUGCGACCGAUUAGCUAGUUGGUAAGGUAAAGGCAUACCAAGGCGAUGAUCGGUAGCUGGUCUGAGAGAACGAUCAGCCACCCGGGGCCGGAGACCGGCCCCAGCCUCCAAGGGGAGGCAGAGGUGGGAAAUUUUGGAAAAGGGGCGAAAGCCUGAUCCAGCAAUUCCGCGUGGGUGAAGAAGGUCUUCGGUUUGAAAAGCCCUUUCGGCGGGGACGAUGAUGACGGUACCCGAAGAAGAAGCCCCGGCUAACUUCGUGCCAGCCGCCGCUGUAA